Molecule: long non-coding RNA, 695 nt
Organism: Ceratitis capitata (Mediterranean fruit fly)
Lineage: Eukaryota; Metazoa; Arthropoda; Insecta; Diptera; Tephritidae
Exons: 2
Source: RefSeq, a predicted model, not a curated record
UGCUUGUUGGUUUAUCAGCUGUUAAAACAAGUUGCAGCGGCAGAAACGUGCAAAAACAGCAAAAACUCGCUGGCUUGAUUUAGUUUAGUGCAAAAACUUUUAUUUUUAUUUUUUGCUGUAAUGUGAGCGCUGCUUACUUUCAUAUGCUUUUGCUUUGAUUGCGAUGUGUGUUGUUGUGAUUAUUGUUAUGUGGCUGUUUGUUAUGUUUGUGUUAACACGUUCAUUUCGCUGUCUCUACACAUGUAUGUUUGCUUGUUUGUGGUUAAGACUUCAAAAGUAGCAACAGUCAUAGCAAUAGCGACGAUUUUACUGCUGCUACUGCUGCCGUUCACUGCCACAAAAACCACAUCAAAUCACAACAAAUUCAUUCAGUGUGUUGUGGAAAUCGCUGGACGUCGGUUGUUGUGCUUUUUUCCUGAUCAUUCUAUAUUUGUUUGGCUCCGUUUUUGUUUUGACCGUUCUUACGCGAUUUUUGAUAUAUUUUUGGUUGUUUAAAAAAAAGAAUUAAAUUCGAUUGUUUUUAUUUUGUGUUUGUUUUCGGUGAGUGUAUUUUGCUAGCGACGCGAGUGUAAAAGUGAAUGCAUACACGUACAUACAUACUGAUAGCUAGGGCCGACAAGUUAGACAGACAGUUCAUUCGCAUGUGUUACUCUUGCACAUUGGGCUUUAAGAUGGAGUACAUACACAUAGGCAAA